ACGGGAGGCAGCAGUGGGGAAUAUUGCACAAUGGGCGCAAGCCUGAUGCAGCAACGCCGCGUGAGGGAAGACGGUUUUCGGAUUGUAAACCUCUGUUCUUGGUGACGAAGAAGUGACGGUAGCCAAGGAGAAAGCCACGGCUAACUACGUGCCAGCAGCCGCGGUAAUACGUAGGUGGCAAGCGUUAUCCGGAAUUACUGGGUGUAAAGGGAGCGCAGGCGGGACAGCAAGUCAGCGGUGAAAUGUGUGGGCUCAACCCAUGAACUGCCGUUGAAACUGUUGUUCUUGAGUGGAGUAGAGGUAGGCGGAAUUCCGAGUGUAGCGGUGAAAUGCGUAGAUAUUCGGAGGAACACCAGUGGCGAAGGCGGAUUACUGGACGACCACUGACGCUGAGACACGAAAGCGUGGGGAGCAAACAGGAUUAGAUACCCUGGUA
Molecule: ribosomal RNA, 436 nt
Filed under: uncultured Clostridiales Family IV bacterium
Lineage: Bacteria; Bacillati; Bacillota; Clostridia; Eubacteriales; Eubacteriales Family IV. Incertae Sedis
Description: bacterial SSU rRNA
Rfam family: Bacterial small subunit ribosomal RNA
Source: RNAcentral